RNAcentral lists this long non-coding RNA (744 nucleotides) under Olea europaea subsp. europaea. The record is from RNAcentral. Lineage: Eukaryota; Viridiplantae; Streptophyta; Magnoliopsida; Lamiales; Oleaceae.
CAAACCUUUGGGCAGAAAUGGAGAAGUACUAGAACUGCAAUAGAAUAUUUACAGAUGGAUCCAAUAACGACAUAGCAACUGGUUACGGUUACGUCAUUCCAGAAGUCCCGAUAGAAGCAAUGGUCACACUCAAUAGUAAAGGUUCUAUAUUUUCAUGUGAACUUCGAGCUAUCCUAUAAUCUCUCCAGUUCAUAGCCAAUUCUCAAGACAACCAUGCCAACCAUGCCAUUAUUUCGGACUCCAAAAGUGCACUUCAAUGAGUCUCAAAUAAAUACAAAAUUCAAAAACCUAUCAGGCAGACAAUUCAAGUCAUUCUACAGCAAAUGAAUGGGAGGGUCCAGUUUAUGUGUUGUCCAAGCCAUUGCGGGAUCGAUGGGAACGAGUGGGCCGAUCAUGUUGAAAAAGAAUCACUGAACUCGCCUAAUGCAACCAGAGAUGAGAAGCUGAUCUCUUCGGAUCUUUGUCGGUUUAUCAGAACCCAGCUCCCAUCUUCCUGGAGAAACGAAUACCAUCAAAUAAGAACGAAGUUAUCUGUCAUAAAACCGUAUCCUGAAUCUUGGCCUACAUCCAUCCAAAAAACAAGAUCCAUGGAGACAAUACUCGCCAGGCUGCGUGUGGGCCACGCUAAAAAAACACACACCUACUUAAUUAAAAGAGAGCCACCACCUCAAUGUCCAUGUGGAGAGCAGGUCACAGUAGAACAUAUGUUAAUAUCCUGCCCAUGUUACGAAUCAAAAAUAUUUU